This 305-nucleotide ribosomal RNA is filed under the name uncultured bacterium. RNAcentral's name for it is "bacterial SSU rRNA". It matches the Rfam family "Bacterial small subunit ribosomal RNA", at positions 337 to 640 of the family's 1533-position model. The record is from RNAcentral.
UCCUACGGGGGGCAGCAGUGAGGAAUAUUGGUCAAUGGGCGCGAGCCUGAACCAGCCAAGUCGCGUGAGGGAAGACGGUCCUAUGGAUUGUAAACCUUUUUUGUCGGGGAGCAAAAGACGCCACGCGUGGCGUUCCGAGAGUACCCGAAGAAAAAGCAUCGGCUAACUCCGUGCCAGCAGCCGCGGUAAUACGGAGGAUGCGAGCGUUAUCCGGAUUUAUUGGGUUUAAAGGGUGCGCAGGCGGAAGAUCAAGUCAGCGGUAAAAUUGAGAGGCUCAACCUCUUCGCGCCGUUGAAACUGGUUUU